UACGUAGGUGGCAAGCGUUAUCCGGAUUUACUGGGUGUAAAGGGCGUGUAGGCGGGAAAGCAAGUCAGAUGUGAAAACCAUGGGCUCAACCUGUGGCCUGCAUUUGAAACUGUUUUUCUUGAGUACUGGAGAGGCAGACGGAAUUCCUAGUGUAGCGGUGAAAUGCGUAGAUAUUAGGAGGAACACCAGUGGCGAAGGCGGGUUCCUGGACAUUAACUGACGCUGAGGCACGAAGGCCAGGGGAGCGAAAGGG
Molecule: ribosomal RNA, 253 nt
Filed under: uncultured Oscillospira sp.
Lineage: Bacteria; Bacillati; Bacillota; Clostridia; Eubacteriales; Oscillospiraceae
Description: partial 16S ribosomal RNA
Rfam family: Bacterial small subunit ribosomal RNA
Source: RNAcentral